GUGAGGAGAAAGAAGAAGCUGAAGGCUGGGCUUCUGGUGCUUCUGGGGUCCAGCCACACCCCCACCCCCCAGUGCCACCCAGGCGACCAGUGCCAACAGCCCACUGUCUCCUCAG
This 115-nucleotide microRNA precursor is filed under the name Mus caroli (Ryukyu mouse). RNAcentral describes it as "microRNA 6981 (MGP_CAROLIEiJ_G0007590.1)". The record is from RNAcentral. Lineage: Eukaryota; Metazoa; Chordata; Mammalia; Rodentia; Muridae.